This 2876-nucleotide ribosomal RNA is filed under the name Stenotrophomonas maltophilia. RNAcentral's name for it is "bacterial LSU rRNA". It matches the Rfam family "Bacterial large subunit ribosomal RNA". The record is from RNAcentral. Lineage: Bacteria; Pseudomonadati; Pseudomonadota; Gammaproteobacteria; Lysobacterales; Lysobacteraceae.
UCAAGCGAAUAAGCGCACACGGUGGAUGCCUUGGCGGUCAGAGGCGAUGAAGGACGUGGCAGCCUGCGAAAAGUAUCGGGGAGCUGGCAACAAGCUUUGAUCCGGUAAUGUCCGAAUGGGGAAACCCACCCGCUUGCGGGUAUCCUGCAGUGAAUACAUAGCUGCUGGAAGCGAACCUGGUGAACUGAAAUAUCUAAGUAACCAGAGGAAAAGAAAUCAACCGAGAUUCCGUAAGUAGCGACGAGCGAACGCGGACUAGCCCUUAAGCUGAUUUGGUUCUAGGAAAACGCUCUGGAAAGAGCGGCCAUAGAAGGUGAUAGCCCUGUAUCUGAAAGGGCCAUUUCAGUGAAGACGAGUAGGGCGGGGCACGUGAAACCCUGUCUGAACAUGGGGGGACCAUCCUCCAAGGCUAAAUACUACUGACCGACCGAUAGUGAACCAGUACCGUGAGGGAAAGGCGAAAAGAACCCCGGAGAGGGGAGUGAAAUAGAACCUGAAACCGUGUGCGUACAAGCAGUAGGAGCUCCGCAAGGAGUGACUGCGUACCUUUUGUAUAAUGGGUCAGCGACUUACUGUUCGUGGCAAGCUUAACCGUAUAGGGGAGGCGAAGGGAAACCGAGUCUGAUAAGGGCGCAUAGUCGCGGGCAGUAGACCCGAAACCGGGUGAUCUAGUCAUGCCCAGGGUGAAGGUGCGGUAACACGCACUGGAGGCCCGAACCCACUCCCGUUGCAAAGGUAGGGGAUGAGGUGUGAUUAGGAGUGAAAAGCUAAUCGAACCCGGAGAUAGCUGGUUCUCCUCGAAAGCUAUUUAGGUAGCGCCUCAUAUGUAUCCUCUCGGGGGUAGAGCACUGUUAUGGCUAGGGGUCAUCGCGACUUACCAAACCAUUGCAAACUCCGAAUACCGAGACGGACUGUAUGGGAGACACACGGCGGGUGCUAACGUCCGUCGUGAAAAGGGAAACAACCCAGACCCACAGCUAAGGUCCCAAAUUCACUGCUAAGUGGAAAACCAUGUGGAAAGGCACAGACAGCCAGGAGGUUGGCUUAGAAGCAGCCACCCUUUAAAGAAAGCGUAAUAGCUCACUGGUCGAGUCGGUCUGCGGGGAAGAUUUAACGGGGCUAAGCAGUGAACCGAAGCUUGGGGUGCAUAACUUUGUUAUGCGCGGUAGAGGAGCGUUCCGUAAGCCGUUGAAGGUGGAUUGAGAAGUCUGCUGGAGGUAUCGGAAGUGCGAAUGCUGACAUGAGUAACGAUAAUGCGGGUGAAAAACCCGCACGCCGAAAGCCCAAGGUUUCCUUGCGCAACGUUAAUCGGCGCAGGGUGAGUCGGCCCCUAAGGCGAGGACGAAAGUCGUAGUCGAUGGGAAGCAGGUUAAUAUUCCUGCACCUCGCGUAAGUGCGAUGGAGGGACGGAGAAGGUUAGGUGUACCAGGCGUUGGUUGUCCUGGGGAAAGGCGGUAGGUUUGGAUCUUUGGCAAAUCCGGGAUCCUCUAAGACCGAGCACCGAGACGAGCCUUUAUGGCAAAGUCACUGAUACCACGCUUCCAGGAAAAGCUCCUAAGCUUCAGCUUACGCAGACCGUACCGUAAACCGACACAGGUGGGUAGGAUGAGAAUUCUCAGGCGCUUGAGAGAACUCGGGUGAAGGAACUAGGCAACAUGGCACCGUAACUUCGGGAGAAGGUGCACCCUUUUUGGUGGCUCGUGCGAGCUAUAGCUGAAGAGGGUCGCAGUAACCAGGCCGCUGCGACUGUUUAUCAAAAACACAGCACUCUGCAAACACGAAAGUGGACGUAUAGGGUGUGACGCCUGCCCGGUGCUGGAAGGUUAAUUGAUGGGGUCAGCCGCAAGGCGAAGCUCUUGAUCGAAGCCCCAGUAAACGGCGGCCGUAACUAUAACGGUCCUAAGGUAGCGAAAUUCCUUGUCGGGUAAGUUCCGACCUGCACGAAUGGCGUAACGACAGCGGCGCUGUCUCCACCCGAGACUCAGUGAAAUUGAAAUCGCUGUGAAGAUGCAGCGUUCCCGUGGCAAGACGGAAAGACCCCGUGAACCUUUACUAUAGCUUUACACUGAACGUUGAGUUCGUCUGUGUAGGAUAGGUGGGAGGCUAUGAAACUGUGGCGCUAGCUGCAGUGGAGCCAUCCUUGAAAUACCACCCUGUCGUGCUUGACGUUCUAACCUGGGCCCAUUAUCUGGGUCGGGGACCGUGUAUGGUGGGUAGUUUGACUGGGGCGGUCUCCUCCUAAAGAGUAACGGAGGAGCUCGAAGGUACGCUCAGCGCGGUCGGACAUCGCGCACUGUGUGCAAAGGCAUAAGCGUGCUUGACUGCAAGAUCGACGGAUCAAGCAGGUAGGAAACUAGGACUUAGUGAUCCGGUGGUUCUGUAUGGAAGGGCCAUCGCUCAACGGAUAAAAGGUACUCCGGGGAUAACAGGCUGAUACCGCCCAAGAGUUCAUAUCGACGGCGGUGUUUGGCACCUCGAUGUCGGCUCAUCACAUCCUGGGGCUGUAGUCGGUCCCAAGGGUAUGGCUGUUCGCCAUUUAAAGUGGUACGCGAGCUGGGUUCAGAACGUCGUGAGACAGUUCGGUCCCUAUCUGCCAUGGGCGUUGGAGAUUUGAGAGGGGCUGCUCCUAGUACGAGAGGACCGGAGUGGACGAACCUCUGGUGUUCCGGUUGUCACGCCAGUGGCAUUGCCGGGUAGCUAUGUUCGGAAGCGAUAACCGCUGAAAGCAUCUAAGCGGGAAGCGCGCCUCAAGAUGAGAUCUCCCGGGGCACAAGCCCCUGAAGGAACCAUGUAGACUACGUGGUUGAUAGGUCAGGUGUGUAAGUACAGCAAUGUAUUGAGCUAACUGAUACUAAUGAUCCGAGAGGCUUGACCAU